AUGGGGACCUCAGCGGUCGAGGGAACGGAUCUCUGGAAGCAAAUAGACGAUGCCGAGUGCUAUCUGGUCAGCGGAUCGUUCGACCAAGCGGUUUUGACUGCAUUGUCCGUGUCUGAUCAAAUUCGAGCGGCCAAUACGGAAAGAGUAUGCGAUGAUGAUGAGCUUUUGGAGAUGCUCGAAUUAGUUGGGAUUGUACUCGUUCAAGCACUUAAGGAGCUCAGAAGGACAACUGAGAUGUUUGUUCAGCUUAAAGCUAUGUAUGGUUCAGUGGCAUCAAUACCGGUGAAGGUUUUCCUGACAGGGGCUACCAUGCUAAUGGCAGAAGGUUCUGGGCCCGACCUUCGACCAAUCUUCGAGGACUUCCUUGCUAAAUGGAGAUACACAGAUGAUCAAGUUUAUGUUUUGAACGGAGAACAGGAAAGAUCUUCAAAUGGUCUUAUUGUUACAUCAACUAUGGCAACUGAAGAGUAUUUGGAGGUGGUAGAAUUGUAUACAGUUACAUUCCUUAGCAUUGCCUCUGAUGAGCCUGAAAAUGCCAUCUCAUGGGUAGAGAAGGCAGAACUAAUUGAGCAAGAUCGACAGGAGCUACUUGAAAAACUUCAUGCAUUACAAGCAGCUGCAAAUGAAAAGUCAUCCACUGCUAGAGGAUCAAAACAAUCAACAGAGAGGAACCUUUCUGCUUUUGACAAAGGCCCAACACCAGCAACACACGAGGAUGCCCCAGCAAGCACCACGCGUGCACCCAAUGUGAAAACAAAUGGCUUACCAAAGUCCAUUGAGCCUUCCCUUCAGCGCGUCGCAAAUAACUUUGAUCCCAUGUUUUGGUGGUUCCAUUCGGUGCGCGUAAAGUUUGGCAGAAUGCACAUUGUUCUACCAAGUGGUAAGCUAAUGCUUCUGUUCUCGCUGUUGUUCUCGACAGUCUACGUCCUCCGGAGGAAAGGCGCCGGCUUAAAGAGGGUUGUGUUCCAACACGCUUCGUCCCUGCGACGGGCGUUCCUCGACGCCCUCCAACUCGCCUUCUCCGUCCAGAUGAACCCACUAGCGGCCGUUCAACAGACGCCGCAAGCCCCUCGAGGAAGCUGGUGA
RNAcentral lists this ribosomal RNA (1086 nucleotides) under Triticum aestivum (bread wheat). RNAcentral describes it as "partial small subunit ribosomal RNA". Lineage: Eukaryota; Viridiplantae; Streptophyta; Magnoliopsida; Poales; Poaceae. The record is from RNAcentral.